This is a non-coding RNA of Gossypium raimondii (Peruvian cotton), 107 nucleotides long. The record is from Rfam. NCBI's taxonomy places the organism in Eukaryota, Viridiplantae, Streptophyta, Magnoliopsida, Malvales, Malvaceae.
AAUCCAUGCAUUGGACAUUUCUGAAGUAAUUCCUUAAAUCUUUCCCAAGCUUUAUACAACGUCUCAUUCUCUGAUUGCAGAAAAGACGUGAUGUCAUUUCUAUGCUU